RNAcentral lists this ribosomal RNA (393 nucleotides) under uncultured bacterium. RNAcentral describes it as "partial 16S ribosomal RNA". It matches the Rfam family "Bacterial small subunit ribosomal RNA", at positions 523 to 918 of the family's 1533-position model. The record is from RNAcentral.
AUACGGAGGAUGCAAGCGUUAUCCGGAUUUAUUGGGUUUAAAGGGUGCGCAGGCGGCGCGUUAAGUCAGUGGUGAAAUGUCCCGGCUCAACCGGGGAACUGCCGCUGAUACUGACGUGCUCGAGUACGGACGGCGCCGGCGGAAUGUGUCAUGUAGCGGUGAAAUGCUUAGAUAUGCCACAGAACACCGAUCGCGAAGGCAGCUGGCGAGGCCGGUACUGACGCUCAGGCACGAAAGCGUGGGGAUCAAACAGGAUUAGAUACCCUGGUAGUCCACGCAGUAAACGAUGAGGACUUGUUGUCGGCGAUAGAGUGUCGGUGACAAAGCGAAAGCGAUAAGUCCUCCACCUGGGGAGUACGAUCGCAAGGUUGAAACUCAAAGGAAUCGGCGGGG